CCUACGGGAGGCAGCAGUGAGGAAUAUUGGUCAAUGGGCGCGAGCCUGAACCAGCCAAGUAGCGUGAAGGAUGACUGCCCUACGGGCUGUAAACUUCUUUUAUAAAGGAAUAAAGUGAGGCACGUGUGCCUUUUUGUAUGUAUUUUAUGAAUAAGGAUCGGCUAACUCCGUGCCAGCAGCCGCGGUAAUACGGAGGAUCCGAGCGUUAUCCGGAUUUAUUGGGUGUAAAGGGAGCGUAGAUGGGUUGUUAAGUCAGUUGUGAAAGUUUGCGGCUCAACCGGAAAAUUGCAAGUGAAACUGGCAGCCUUGAGUACAGGUGAGGUAGGCGGAAUUCGUGGUGUAGCGGUGAAAUGCGUAGAUAUCAGGAAGAACUCCGAUUGCGAAGGCAGCCUACUGAACUGCAACUGACGUUGAUGCUCGAAAGUGUGGGUAUCAAACAGGAUUAGAUACCCCAGUAGUC
Molecule: ribosomal RNA, 460 nt
Filed under: uncultured bacterium
Lineage: Bacteria
Description: partial 16S ribosomal RNA
Rfam family: Bacterial small subunit ribosomal RNA
Source: RNAcentral